This 471-nucleotide ribosomal RNA is filed under the name uncultured bacterium. RNAcentral describes it as "SSU rRNA". It matches the Rfam family "Bacterial small subunit ribosomal RNA", at positions 26 to 518 of the family's 1533-position model. The record is from RNAcentral.
AGGACUAACGCUGGCGGCGUGCCUAACACAUGCAAGUCGAACGAGGGGUAGCAAUACCCCUAGUGGCAGACGGGUGAGUAACACGUAGUCAACCUACCUCUUAAUGGGGGAUAACUAGCCGAAAGGUUAGCUAAUACCGCAUACGAUCGUCGAGUGGCAUCACACGACGAUGAAAGGAGCAAUCCGUUGAGAGAGGGGACUGCGUCCCAUUAGUUAGUUGGUGGGGUAAUGGCCUACCAAGACUCCGAUGGGUAGCUGGCUUGAGAGAGCGACCAGCCACACUGGAACUGAGACACGGUCCAGACUCCUACGGGAGGCAGCAGUGAGGAAUUUUCCGCAAUGGGGGAAACCCUGACGGAGCGACGCCGCGUGUGGGAAGAAGGCCUUCGGGUCGUAAACCACUGUCGAGGGGGACGAUAGUUGACGGUACCCCUGGAGGAAGCCCCGGCUAACUACGCGCCAGCACGCCGC